CUGACCCACAUGCACUCCUGAAGAGGACUACAUGAAAAUCCACCCUGAAGAUCAACCUAAUGCUGUAUAGCACGUUUUCACAGGCAGACAGUAGUCUGAGAGGCGAGAGUGGUGAAGUGGAGGUCCCACCGCUGCUCUGGGGGGAGAGAGAUUGAUGCUGGUGUCAGUGAUGAAUCUCCCAUUAUGUGUGAAACUGUGGUGUCCUUGAACUCCGGGGUUUGCCAUAUGCUGUAAAGGACAAAGGAUGUGAAGAGAGACGAGUACCUUAAUCAGUGCUGUUUCCUUGGUGUAAAGAAGCUCCUAAAUGACCCUAUCUGGACCUGGGUCAGGGCCCUGUUCUCCAGCACCAGCGCUCAGUGAGUCCACACUGGCUCUGCCAUCACUGUCAGGGCAGGCCAGUCCCUACUGCAGCUCCCUGCCUCCAGACCCAAGCAAGGAAAAGGACACCUCUCACCCCGGAGCUGCUCAUGUGUGGCCAGCAGCGACAUCAGCUAAGGCAUCUGCACCUACCCUGGAGACCCCACUGCUGGCCCCUGUAUGGGGAAAUUGAUGGCUGUGCAUGUGUGAAAGCAGGAGACAUUGACCUCCCACUGCCACUGGCCUGAUGCUCCCCCCUUUGUUCAGAUAACGUGACGGACACCCUCGCUCUCCCCCAACUCUGCAAGGUUACUGCACCUCCACAGUGCAACUGAGUUCAGAGGACAUGCAUCAGAAAUACUCCAGAAAGAUCUGUAACAUUACAGAUUUUUAUUAGCUGUAAUCAAGGCCUGAAAUAAAUGCUAUGAGAAACGGAACAGGCUAGACAAAAGCUACAUCAGCAACACAGAGGAACAUGGUUGGUUCUUUAGUGGGACACAAUAUGGAAAUGUUGAUGUCGUGAUAACCUGAACAUUUAUAAGAACACUGUAAAGUUACUGUUCCUUAAACCAUUUUCAAAGCCCUCUUAAAUCAGAAGGUCUUCAGGGAAAUGAGAAUAGAAUACAAAAAAUGAAUAUAUUGAACAUUACAAAAUAUUUGGUAACACUUAUUACCCCUACUUAUAGCCCCCUGUAGGUGCUUUGUGGUUGUUUAGCUUUUCAUUUAACGUACAUUAAGCUAAAUAUUCAUUAAAUGGAAAGUCCAUCAUAUUUAUAAAAAUGUCCCUAUAAUUUAAUGCUUGAGCUGUAAAUGGUAAAAUAGUGGCAAAUCUGAGGGAAAAAAAGUUUUCUUAGGGGACUAUUGUACCUUACAAUUCCCUACAUGUUUGACUACCAUUAACGGAUUAAAAAAUACUUUUUAGGCCAAAAUCUUUUCUCAAAACUAUUGUAAAACACCAUCUUCAGGCAACAUAUUUGCAACCAUUUCAUGUAAUAACUUUCUAUGAGGGAGCUUUUAGAGGCAAUAAAGUCUUCAGAUGUCUGGUUUCUAUCACCAUCACUGUGAACAAUUCUGACUGAGUAAGUUUCUCUAGAACAGAGCAUUUCACAUCAGACCACUCUGAAUUAGUUUACUUCUAUCUUCAUGAUUUAAUUAUGAAUUAUUUUUAAAUCAGUGGAAAUCACUUUCACCAUUCCUUAACCAUAACCCUGGUCUUAAUUGUAAACCUAAUCCUAAUCUCAACUCAAAAUUUUAACUUAACCCUAAUCCUGGUUCUAACUCUAAUUCUGUUGAGAAUCAACAGUUUCACCAGAUACUUUGUUAAUAAUUUGAAGACUAAUGAUUAUUGUCUACAUUUGUAAUCUGUAGAUUAUUUUUGGCAUCUAUCCAAAUAAAAUAGCAUCAAAUAAUCUAUUCAUACUUAAAAUUUAAGAAUGUAAUGACAACAAAUAACAAUAUAUUAUAUACAAAUGUACUUAAUUAGCCCAGAAAAGCCCAGUUUAAUACAACUUUUAUGGAAAUGUGCUUUGCUUUUAUUUUCCAUAGUCUAAAGCCAAAAGUUUUUUUAUGUCCCUGAUUACUUUUCCCUCUUUUUUGUUUUUCAGGUUAACUGUGCCUGUCUGCAGAUUUGACGUCCACCUUGAGGGCAGAUGUGCCUGGCUGACCUGGCUGUACCUCAUAGGUGGGCUGUUUUCUGGAAGCGCUGUGGUGGACCUAGGAGAGCAGGUGGCUGGAGGUAGAGCUGAGAA
Molecule: long non-coding RNA, 2105 nt
Organism: Colossoma macropomum (tambaqui)
Lineage: Eukaryota; Metazoa; Chordata; Actinopteri; Characiformes; Serrasalmidae
Exons: 3
Source: RefSeq, a predicted model, not a curated record